ACAUUAUUUUUUGCACGAGUUUGUUUAUGUGUACCAAAUGCCAAAUUUGAUUUAAUUUAGUUUAAUUACAAGUUGGAAGUGGCUACAAUCACAAGUUAGUGUCAACAUAGCCUAACUCGGAGAUUAAAAUUAAAAUUUGAUUUCGUUUAAAAUGGAGUUGCAAGAUUCUAAGAAAUCGAAGAAAAGUAAACCCAAAAAGAAGCCCCCUCUUCCUGAGGACGACACCUCCGGUGAUUUGCUUAUAGUCGAUGAAUCCGGGGGCAAAAACAAGUCCCCUGUGAAUAAACCCCCGUCGACAUCGUCCACUUCAAAUAAGAAACGAAAAAAACGCGAUAGUGCCUCUAGUGACGAAGAAAGGUGGCUUACUGCAAUCGAGUCUGGAAAACUUGAAGACGUUGAUGACGAAUUGAAGAAAAUCAAGCCAAAAGAUCCUGCUUUGAUGACAGCCCGACAGCGGGCAAUGUAUGAGCGAGAAGUCGACGGGAGCCCCUCUGUCACAACCCCCACAUUAAUGUCACUACCCACCGGUUACAAAGAGAAAGUCAUGACGGCUGAAGCGAUCCAAAAAGCCGCGAUUAAAUCCCAAAAACGCAAACAACUAGCCGACGAAAAACGAGAAAAGGAUAAAAAGAAAACUAUGGAAAGGUUGCUGAAAAAACAGGAGUCCAAAGCGGCAAAAGCUGCGAAAAAUAAAGUAACAAAAACACAAACUCCUAUGAUUUUGUAUAGACAAAAUGUGAAUGUGACCACACUGUCUUUUCCCCCGGGGAUGGACUGGCCCUUGCCCGUUUCAGAGGGCAAGGAGCCCCCAAAACCGACACUUUGCAGCAUGGGCUGUGGCAGUGUGAAAAAGUACUCCUGCUCACAAACCAACGCACCUUUGUGCAGUUUAACUUGUUAUAAAAGAAAUAUUGCGAGUCGGAUUUUGUGAAGAAAAAUCGUUUUUGAGUCAGAUGCCGGUAAUAUAUUUGUUUUUAAUAUUUUAUUACAUAACUUUCUUUACGGUUCUUCAGUUCUAUUGAAAAUGGUAAGGCCAGUCUCACUUAUUUCCUGUUUUAUUGUUAACGGAAGCAGUAGAGAAAAUUGUUUAUGUAACUCUUGUCUACCUGGCCCAUUUGUAGAUAUUUUGGCACUGGAUAUGACGUGUAGAGGUGCCCCAAUCAGACUCUAAGUACUAUUCGUUUUUACAUUGAUCACACAUCUUCCAUACAAACAACAAAUUUCAACCACUUUUCGUAUCUUCGUGCCAAUUCAAGCUCGUGGAAUAGUGACGAUUGUACGAGAUUUUUUUUAAUAAAUUCUGCUUCGUUUUUAAGCAAAGUUUGGUAGAGUCGCGACGAUUGGACUUUGUUGAGUUGGCUUUUAAACAAUUUUGGUUGU
Molecule: RNA transcript, 1380 nt
Organism: Tribolium madens (black flour beetle)
Lineage: Eukaryota; Metazoa; Arthropoda; Insecta; Coleoptera; Tenebrionidae
Gene name: INO80 complex subunit B
Exons: 4
Source: RefSeq, a predicted model, not a curated record